GCGGGGGUCGCCAAGCCUGGUCAAAGGCGCAGGGCUUAGGACCCUGUCCCGUAGACCGUCUAUGUCGGGCGGAUGGGUUCGUGGGUUCAAAUCCCACCCCCCGCA
Molecule: transfer RNA, 105 nt
Filed under: Nitrososphaeria archaeon
Lineage: Archaea; Thermoproteati; Nitrososphaerota; Nitrososphaeria
Description: tRNA-Leu
Rfam family: tRNA
About the family: Transfer RNA (tRNA) molecules are approximately 80 nucleotides in length.
Source: RNAcentral